Molecule: transfer RNA, 74 nt
Filed under: Loxodonta africana (African savanna elephant)
Lineage: Eukaryota; Metazoa; Chordata; Mammalia; Proboscidea; Elephantidae
Rfam family: tRNA
About the family: Transfer RNA (tRNA) molecules are approximately 80 nucleotides in length. Their secondary structure includes four short double-helical elements and three loops (D, anti-codon, and T loops).
Source: Rfam by way of RNAcentral
GUCUCUGUGGUGCAUCUGGGUAGUGCAUUCAGCUACUAACUGAAAGGUUGGUGGUUCGAGCCCACCCAGGGAUG